AUCAAAGGGCUUCGGUACCGGAUUGGGAGCGGUUUAUGUCGUAUCAGUUUGUUGGUGAGGUAACGGCUCACCAAGACUUCGACGCGUAGCGGGACUGAGAGGUUGGCCCGCCAUAUCGGGACUGAGACACUGCCCGGACCUCCACGGAGGGCUGCAGUAACGGAUAUUGCGCAAUGGGCGAAAGCCUGACGCAGCGACGCCGCGUGUAGGACGAAACCCUUCGGGGUGUAAACUACUGUCAGGGUGAAGAAAGGUGAGGGCUGUAAUGCCCGAUCUUGAUCGAUCCCAAAGGAAGGCCCGGCUAACUUCGUGCCAGCAGCCGCGGUAAUACGAAGGGGCCAAGCGUUGUUCGGAAUCACUGGGCUUAAAGCGCAUGUAGGCGGACUACCCAGUGUCUUGUGAAAUCCCUCGGCUUAACCGAGGAACUGCAGGGCAUACUGGUAGUCUUGAGACAAGUAGGGGUGCACGGAACUCUGGGUGGAGCGGUGAAAUGCGUAGAUAUCCAGAGGAACGCCAGCGGAGAAAUCGGUGCACUGGGCUUGUUCUGACGCUGAGAUGCGAAAGCGUGGGGAGCGAAACGGGAUUAGAUACCCCCGGUAGUCCACGCUGUAAACGAUGUCUACUAGGUCGCGGUAACUCUGACGUUUUCGCGGCCGAAGCAAAAGUGUUAAGUAGACCGCCUGGGGAGUACGGUCGCAAGGCUAAAACUCAAAGGAAUUGACGGGGGCUCACACAAGCGGUGGAGCAUGUGGCUUAAUUCGAAGCAACGCGAAGAACCUUAUCCUGGGUUUGACAUAUUUGGAUGCUCUUGGUGAAAGCCAAGCAGGCUGCCUUCGGGUGAAACUUAUACAGGUGCUGCAUGGCUGUCGUCAGCUCGUGUCGUGAGAUGUUGGGUUAAGUCCUUAAACGAGCGAAACCCUUGUCGUUAGUUGCCAGCGCGUUAUGGCGGGGACUCUAACGAGACUGCCGGUGUCAAACCGGAGGAAGGCGGGGAUGACGUCAAGUCCUCAUGGCCUUUAUGCCCAGGGCUGCACACGUGCUACAAUGGUGCGGACAAACCGACGCAAGACCGCGAGGUGGAGCAAAUCGGAAAAACCGUGCCUCAGUUCGGAUUGCAGGCUGCAACUCGCCUGCAUGAAGUCGGAAUCGCUAGUAAUCGUAGAUCAGCUAUGCUACGGUGAAUGUGUUCCUGAGCCUUGU
This 1200-nucleotide ribosomal RNA is filed under the name uncultured bacterium. RNAcentral's name for it is "bacterial SSU rRNA". It matches the Rfam family "Bacterial small subunit ribosomal RNA", at positions 200 to 1384 of the family's 1533-position model. The record is from RNAcentral.